ACCCCGUAGCUAGCCCAACCCCCUAAAAUCAAUUAACCACCCUUAAUAACCCCAAAUUGCACUAGACCCGCAAAACAAACCAUUUUUCCCUCUCAGUAUAGGAGAUAGAAAAGAGACUCGGAGCGAUAGAGAAAGUACCGCAAGGGAAGGCUGAAAGAGAAAUGAAACAACCACACAAGUACAGAAAAGCAGAGACUAAACCUCGUACCUUU
RNAcentral lists this ribosomal RNA (212 nucleotides) under Halichoeres chloropterus (pastel-green wrasse). Its description in RNAcentral is "partial 16S ribosomal RNA". Lineage: Eukaryota; Metazoa; Chordata; Actinopteri; Labriformes; Labridae. The record is from RNAcentral.